CUUAGGCAAGAACUCUUCCUUCAAUUAAUGAAAAUAUUAAGUCAUUCGACAGUACCUGUGAAGCCCUUCAUUCCUUUAUACAAAGUGAUUUGCUGAGCCUUUGGGCCGUAUAAACAUGAAUAAAACCCUUUAAGAUGUUCAUACUCUAUUUGGGCAGUCAGAUACAAGUAGUUAGAAGUCAGAAUCGCUGUGGAAGCACAGUGGAGGAAGUCAUGGAUUACCACAGAUUCCAGAGCGUUGGAAUCAGGGAGAGCUUCGAAGAGAAGCCCGGCAUUGGCAAAACCUGGGAAGAUUCAUAAGCUUUUCAUAGCCAGAGAAACAGUGGAAAGGGCCAUUAGGCCGAGCAACCACCUCAGCAACAUAAACAGGUUUUAAAAGCUGAGCAGCAAACUUUGGAUUAUUUUAAAAGAGUGAUCUUCAAACAUUUUUCUUCAUUUGAACUCAAAAAGAAUUCUGAAGCUUUGUACCUCCUUGUGUAUUUUUAAGUUGGUAUCUAGCACUAUUUUGUCAAAAAUUGUUUUAAUUUUUCUAGUGGAUGGAAAAUAUUGGUAUUUGACAAUAAAGCUGUCAUAUCACUCCUUUAAAUGUACCCAUUAGAAUAUAAAUAUUAUAGACAUUCGAUACCCUUUAUUAACUAUUCUUUUAAAUACAUGAAUAGGCUUUUCUUUAACAACAGUACAUUUUGCAACAUUCCUUGUUUUCCUUGAGCCUAUUCCACUUUCCCUACAGAAUUAUAUUUCAAUGUAAUGUGUUUUUAUACUUUAAAGUCUUUUCUUGCUCUACCUUUCAUAAUUCUUUGCAAUAAAAAUAUGUGUAUAUUGGCUGGGUAUAGUGGCUCGGGCCUGUAAUCCAAGCACUUUGGGAGGCCGAGGCGGGCAGACUGCCUGAGCUCAGUAGUUCAAGACCAGCCUGGGCAACAUGGCGAAACCCUGUCUCUACUAAAAAUACAAAAAAAAAAAAAAAA
This 964-nucleotide long non-coding RNA is filed under the name Homo sapiens (human). RNAcentral's name for it is "non-protein coding lnc-STRN3-16:1". Lineage: Eukaryota; Metazoa; Chordata; Mammalia; Primates; Hominidae. The record is from RNAcentral.